AGACGCACCCUUUUCAACAGUCCACUCAAAGGAGAAGCAUUAGCCAUUUAUAUAAUUUUCAUAUAUAUCAUGCCAAGUGGGAAAGGUUAGCCCACAACACCCGCACGCACAAAACAGAAAAACAUAAAAUCCUUCACCCUCCCAUCAUUCAAAGACCAACUCCACUCUCCUCUUCAACUUGAAAAGUUUUCUCCAUCUCUUUACCACCACUGAAACUAGAGCACCAGUCUCAACAAAUUUCAUGGCUUUUACCUGGACUAAUGUUAAACUUCACAAAGAAGAAAGAAAGAAAAAAUUUAAAAUAUGGCACAGGAUAACAAAGAGAGGGAGAGAUUCUUUAAUAAAAGAACUGUGAGGGUUACUCUUAUAUGUGCUAAAACAUAUACAUACACACCCUCCCAUCGCAUAUAUGUUGAAAGAUAUUGUCUACUGUUCUUUCUGGAAAAUAACAAAAGUGAAAAAGAAAAUCCUCCAUUGCUUAAUCCCAAAAAG
RNAcentral lists this unclassified non-coding RNA (492 nucleotides) under Hevea brasiliensis (rubber tree). Lineage: Eukaryota; Viridiplantae; Streptophyta; Magnoliopsida; Malpighiales; Euphorbiaceae. The record is from RNAcentral.